GAUGAAGAACGUAGCGAAAUGCGAUAAGUAAUGUGAAUUGCAGAAUUCAGUGAAUCAUCGAAUCUUUGAACGCACAUUGCGCCCCCUGGUAUUCCGGGGGGCAUGCCUGUCCGAGCGUCAUUACAACCCUCAAGCUCAGCUUGGUGUUGGGCCCCGCCGUCCCGGCGGGCCCUAAAGUCAGUGGCGGUGCCGUCCGGCUCCGAGCGUAGUAAUUCUUCUCGCUCUGGAGGUCCGGUCGUGUGCUUGCCAGCAACCCCCAAUUUUUUUCAGGUUGACCUCGGAUCAGGUAGGGAUACCCGCUGAACUUAAGCAUAUCAAUAAGCGGAGGA
This 329-nucleotide unclassified non-coding RNA is filed under the name soil metagenome. RNAcentral's name for it is "partial contains 5.8S ribosomal RNA, internal transcribed spacer 2, and large subunit ribosomal RNA". The stretch from base 1 to 120 matches the Rfam family "5.8S ribosomal RNA", at positions 35 to 154 of the family's 154-position model. The record is from RNAcentral.